Long non-coding RNA from Xiphophorus couchianus (Monterrey platyfish), 1136 nucleotides. RefSeq lists it as uncharacterized. NCBI's taxonomy places the organism in Eukaryota, Metazoa, Chordata, Actinopteri, Cyprinodontiformes, Poeciliidae. The transcript has 5 exons. The record is from RefSeq and is a predicted model, not a curated record.
UGCUUACAAUUCUGUUCUUCUAAUAUAUGUUAUGAUAAAUUCUAGUUCUGAUUCUCAGAGACAUGAAAACUUGUUUCCAUCAUGUUUAUAUUGAUGGAUGAAAUGUAUGAUUUGGUUCAGCAGCUUGUUGAAAAUGUUGUAGAAAAUCAUCUAAUAUUUUGAGUCAUAUUUCAGAGUAACUGAAUGUUUCUUAUCUUCAUACAGAUGAAAUUUGUUCUUUUUACUUUGUUCCUUUGUGGAUUCAUCCUGGAAAUCAAUGGAAAAAGUUCAUCAGGAGGUUUGUGCUUUAAUCUUUCUGGUGUUUUGAGUUCACAAGGUGGCGCUGCAGGUUUUAGUAUGAAGACAAGCUGGGCAUGAAGGCUGAUGUUGAAUGUUCAUCAUUUAUUGGAUCUAAAACUGUUAAACAUGAAUUUAUCUUUAGUUCGUGGGUGUUUGGACUUUUCUGUGUCCUGAUAUGAAUAUGAUCUGAAUGUCUCAUAUGCAGCAUGCCUCCCAGAGGAAAAAUCCCUUGUUGCCUGUGAAGGAACAGUGGCUCGACUCCACUGUGAAGAAGGUCAGGCUAUCUAUGUGACCAGUGCUACAUACGGACGCAAUGAUAAGAAGACUUGCAGCGCUCGUAGACCGGCCGACCAGCUAAAGAACACUGAAUGCUUCACAUACGCAGAGGAAGUUUUUGAGAGAUGCAACGGGAAACAGUGGUGUAAAGUCAAAGCCAGUAACUAUGUGUUCGGAGAUCCCUGCUAUGGAACCUACAAGUACCUGGAGGUGGAAUAUAUUUGUUACGAGGUUCCCCAGUCGUGCCCAGAAUAGAAGCAGAAGUCGCCUUCUUCAUCAGGAUGCUGAUGAAGACUCUGGUGCUGCUGCCCCAACAGAUGAUGGCUGACGACAACAAACUGAGAGAAGAUCUGCAGCAUCUUGUUGAAAACCUGGAAGGAUCUUAGCGUCCUCAAGAAGCUGACAGAAAAUAAUCUGAAUUACAAUUAAACAUAACAAAUAAAGUAAUAUCACAGAUUAUAGCUUUGAAAAUCUUUUUAUUUUUCUUCCUGUUGUAUCAAACUUAAAGACAGUUUUUCUCUCCAACUGCUUCUCUUUGUAAACUUCUUCAGCCAAAAUAAAACAAAAAGCUGAAAGAGGAA